AUGCCAAAUGCAGUUGCUGGGUUGAUUAAUGUUUUUGCAGACGACACAAGAGUUUAUUCAUCUGUAAUUAAUGAGCAACAACACCAGGAUUUGCAAGACGAUUUAGAUUUAUUAUGUGAUUGGUCCAGAAAUUGGAAAUUAUCAUUUAAUGCGAGUAAAUGUAAAGUAAUGCAUUUUGGUCAAAAUAAUAACUUGUCUAGAUAUACAAUGGUAGAUAAUGAGGAUGAUUAUGUCCAGGUUAAUCCUGUAACUGAAGAAAAGGACUUAGGAGUAACUUUUGAGCCUAACCUCAAGUUUGACAAACAUAUUACUAACUGUGUGAAUAAAGCCCAGAGAGGCUUGGCAUUAAUCCGUAUUUCCUUUGACUAUUUGAAAAAAAAAAUGUUUAUUAUUCUAUAUAAAUCAAUCAUACGUCCCUUGUUGGAAUACUCCACUACAGUGUGGUCACCAUAUUUAAAGAAAUAUAUCAGGAAAAUCAAAAAGAUCCCACGACGAGCUACCAAACUAGUACCUAAUAUAAACACGUUGAGUUAUGUAGAAAGAUUGAGAGCCUUGGGCCUUCCAACGCUUGAAUACAGAAGAGAUCGUUAUGAUAUGUUACACGUAUAUAAAGCUUUACGUGGGAUAGAUGAUAUUAAAUUGCAAAAUAUGUUUGAGUUAUCUACAAAUUCUACUAGAGGACAUCAUUGGAAAUUAAUUAAAAAGAGGUGUAAUUCAACUCAACGUCUUCAUUCGUUUCCACAAAGGAUCAUUGAUUAA
Molecule: small RNA, 759 nt
Filed under: Mytilus galloprovincialis (Mediterranean mussel)
Lineage: Eukaryota; Metazoa; Mollusca; Bivalvia; Mytilida; Mytilidae
Source: RNAcentral